GGGGCUGUAGUGUAACCUGGCUAUCAUUAAUGGUUUGGGACCAUUGGAUCCCGGUUCAAAUCCGGGCAGCCCCG
Molecule: transfer RNA, 74 nt
Filed under: Nanobdellota archaeon
Lineage: Archaea; Nanobdellati; Nanobdellota
Also listed under: 1 other name
Description: tRNA-Pro
Rfam family: tRNA
About the family: Transfer RNA (tRNA) molecules are approximately 80 nucleotides in length. Their secondary structure includes four short double-helical elements and three loops (D, anti-codon, and T loops). Further hydrogen bonds mediate the characteristic L-shaped molecular structure. tRNAs have two regions of fundamental functional importance: the anti-codon, which is responsible for specific mRNA codon recognition, and the 3' end, to which the tRNAs corresponding amino acid is attached (by aminoacyl-tRNA synthetases). tRNAs cope with the degeneracy of the genetic code in two manners: having more than one tRNA (with a specific anti-codon) for a particular amino acid; and 'wobble' base-pairing, i.e. permitting non-standard base-pairing at the 3rd anti-codon position.
Source: RNAcentral